CGGACAACGCUGGCGGCGUGCCUCAUACAUGCAAGUCGAGCGGAUGUAGCAAUACAUCAGCGGCGGACGGGUGAGUAACACGUGGGCAACCUGGCCUUAAGAGGGGGAUAACGUCCCGAAAGGGACGCUAAUACCGCGUAAAUCAACGAGAUCGCAUGAUUUUGUUGGAAAAGGAGCAAUCCGCUUAAGGAUGGGCCCGCGGCCUAUUAGCUAGUUGGUAGGGUAAUGGCCUACCAAGGCGACGAUAGGUAGCCGACCUGAGAGGGUGAACGGCCACACUGGAACUGAGAAACGGUCCAGACUCCUACGGGAGGCAGCAGUAGGGAAUAUUCCGCAAUGGGCGAAAGCCUGACGGAGCAACGCCGCGUGAGUGAAGAAGGUUUUCGGAUCGUAAAGCUCUGUCAACAGGGACGAAACAAGACGGUACCUGAGAAGGAAGCCACGGCAAACUACGUG
Molecule: ribosomal RNA, 456 nt
Filed under: uncultured bacterium
Lineage: Bacteria
Description: bacterial SSU rRNA
Rfam family: Bacterial small subunit ribosomal RNA
Source: RNAcentral